Molecule: ribosomal RNA, 351 nt
Filed under: Boophis quasiboehmei
Lineage: Eukaryota; Metazoa; Chordata; Amphibia; Anura; Mantellidae
Description: partial 16S ribosomal RNA
Rfam family: Bacterial large subunit ribosomal RNA
Source: RNAcentral
GACCCCAUGGAGCUUUAAACCUGACAGCACCCGCUCAUUCUAUACCCCAUUAUUUGCCCGACCCCUGUCUGCUCAGUUUUAGGUUGGGGUGACCACGGAGUAUAAAGUAACCUCCAUGAAGAAGGGGAUAUUUCCCUUAUUAGAGAACCACACUUCCAAGAACUAAUAAAUUAAUUUUCAAUGACCCGAUACCCGAUAAUCGAUCAACGAACCAAGUUACCCUGGGGAUAACAGCGCAAUCCACCCUGAAAGCCCUUAUUAACAGGUGGGUUUACGACCUCGAUGUUGGAUCAGGGUAUCCCAGUGGUGCAGCAGCUACUGAGGGUUCGUUUGUUCAACGAUUAAAACCCU